AUUGAACGCUGGCGGCAUGCCUUACACAUGCAAGUCGAACGGCAUCGCGGGAAAGCUUGCUUUCCUGGCGGUGAGUGGCGAACGGGUGAGUAACACAUCGGAACGUACCGGCUAGUGGGGGAUAACCCGUCGAAAGACGGGCUAAUACCGCAUACGCUCUUCGGAGGAAAGCAGGGGACCUUUGGGCCUUGCGCUAGCCGAGCGGCCGAUGUCCGAUUAGCUAGUUGGUGGGGUAAAGGCCUACCAAGGCGACGAUCGGUAGCGGGUCUGAGAGGACGAUCCGCCACACUGGGACUGAGACACGGCCCAGACUCCUACGGGAGGCAGCAGUGGGGAAUCUUGGACAAUGGGGGCAACCCUGAUCCAGCAAUGCCGCGUGGGUGAAGAAGGCCUUCGGGUUGUAAAGCCCUUUCGGCAGGGAAGAAAUCGGCGGGGCGAAUAACCCUGCUGGAUGACGGUACCUGCAGAAGAAGCACCGGCUAACUACGUG
RNAcentral lists this ribosomal RNA (490 nucleotides) under uncultured bacterium. RNAcentral describes it as "partial 16S ribosomal RNA". It matches the Rfam family "Bacterial small subunit ribosomal RNA", at positions 29 to 507 of the family's 1533-position model. The record is from RNAcentral.